This 774-nucleotide ribosomal RNA is filed under the name uncultured Neocallimastigales. Its description in RNAcentral is "partial large subunit ribosomal RNA". It matches the Rfam family "Eukaryotic large subunit ribosomal RNA", at positions 22 to 637 of the family's 3401-position model. The record is from RNAcentral. Lineage: Eukaryota; Fungi; Neocallimastigomycota; Neocallimastigomycetes; Neocallimastigales.
CUAUACAUGACUCUGCGCAUAUCAAUAAGCGGAGGAAAAGAAACUAACAAGGAUUCCCCUAGUAACGGCGAGUGAAGCGGGAAGAGCUCAAAUUUGAAAUCUUAAAGGGUUUCCCUUUACGAAUUGUAGUUUAAAGAAGUGUUUUCUGUUGAGGUUUUGGUAAAAGUUCUUUGGAAUAGGACAUCAUAGAGGGUGAGAAUCCCGUAUUUGACCUUUACUUUCAACUUUGUGAUACACUUUCAAAGAGUCGGAUUGUUUGGGAAUGCAGUCCAAAAUGGGUGGUAAAUUUCAUCUAAAGCUAAAUAUUGGCGAGAGACCGAUAGCGAACAAGUACCGUGAGGGAAAGAUGAAAAGAACUUUGAAAAGAGAGUUAAACAGUACGUGAAAUUGUCAAAAGGGAAGCGUUUGACACCAGUGUUGUUUUUCUGAAAAUCAAUUAAAGAACUGUUUAUGCUAAGUUGUUUAGACUUUAUCAGCUAACUGUUUAGUUUUGAGCUUUUCUUUAAUGCACUUUUCAGUUAACAAGUCAACAUCAAUUUCUUUUGCUGUAAAAAAGCUUGAGGAAGGUGGCUUGAGAUUCGUCUUAAGUGUUUAUAGCCUCUUGCCUAUGCAGUCGGAGAGAUUGAGGUCUGCAGCGUAGAUCCUUCGGGGCUAAAUGCAUUUGUGCUAAGUUAUAGCAUUUUAUAGACAACUUGUUGACUAUGAUUUGUCUUGUAGCUUACUCGCUUAUGUUAUUUUACCUACGCUUAGGAUGUUGACAGCAGUAUAGACUGU